Molecule: transfer RNA, 73 nt
Filed under: Caudoviricetes sp.
Lineage: Duplodnaviria; Heunggongvirae; Uroviricota; Caudoviricetes
Description: tRNA-Trp
Rfam family: tRNA
About the family: Transfer RNA (tRNA) molecules are approximately 80 nucleotides in length. Their secondary structure includes four short double-helical elements and three loops (D, anti-codon, and T loops).
Source: RNAcentral
ACCUAGUUAGUUUAAUUGUUAAAACGUCAGUCUCCAAAACUGAAAGAUUCCAGUUAGAAUCUGGAGCUAGGUG